UACAGAGGUCUCAAGCGUUGUUCGGAAUUACUGGGCGUAAAGGGCGCGUAGGCGGCCUGUUAAGUCGAACGUGAAAUCCCCGGGCUCAACCCGGGAACUGCGUCCGAUACUGGCAGGCUUGAAUCCGGGAGAGGGAUGCGGAAUUCCAGGUGUAGCGGUGAAAUGCGUAGAUAUCUGGAGGAACACCGGUGGCGAAGGCGGCAUCCUGGACCGGCAUUGACGCUGAGGCGCGAAAGCUGGGGGAGCAAACAGG
RNAcentral lists this ribosomal RNA (253 nucleotides) under uncultured bacterium. RNAcentral describes it as "partial 16S ribosomal RNA". It matches the Rfam family "Bacterial small subunit ribosomal RNA", at positions 524 to 776 of the family's 1533-position model. The record is from RNAcentral.